This 664-nucleotide ribosomal RNA is filed under the name uncultured cyanobacterium. RNAcentral's name for it is "bacterial SSU rRNA". It matches the Rfam family "Bacterial small subunit ribosomal RNA", at positions 99 to 795 of the family's 1533-position model. Lineage: Bacteria; Bacillati; Cyanobacteriota. The record is from RNAcentral.
GGGUAGGGUGAGUUAUGUGUGCGUUCGCUCCUUUAGGAUUGGGAUAUCAGUGUGAGAUGCGUUCUAAGACACAAUGUUCCGAGAGGUUGAUUAAUCUAGAGACAGAAGCUGGUCUCGGGUACGAUAAGAUUGAUGGUGGGGUAAAAGCCUUCCAUGGUGAGGAUCAGUAGCUGGUUUGAGAGGGUGAGCACCCACCUUGGGCUGCAGACUUUCACUUGCUCCUGCAGAGCGUCAGCAGUGAGUCAUUCUCCGCAAUGGGUGCAUGCUCGGUGUAGCAAUGCCGCGUGGCGGAGGAAGGUCUGAGGAUUGUUAACCUCUGUUUCUGAAGGAUGAUGCUCUGUGGGUAAUUCGGGAAUAAGCAUAGGAUCAUUCCUUCCCAGCAGGGGAGGUUAUAGGGAGGAUGCAAGCGUUAUCGGGAAUUAUUGGGCGUAAAGCGUCCGUAGGUGUUGAUACAAGUCUUUAGUCAAAGCAGGUUGGUUCAUGUCCUAAAGCCGGUGGAAGAUGUAUGCCUAGAGUUUGCUAGGGGUAGCGGGAAUUCUCAUCGUAGCGGAGAUAUGCGUCGAUCUUGGGAUGAACAUCGUUGGGGAAAGUGCGGUAUUGGCCGUAAAUUGCCACUGAGGUGACGAAAGCUAGGGGAGGGAAAGGGAUUAGAUUCCCCGUAGUC